RNAcentral lists this ribosomal RNA (193 nucleotides) under uncultured Staphylococcus sp. Its description in RNAcentral is "partial 16S ribosomal RNA". It matches the Rfam family "Bacterial small subunit ribosomal RNA", at positions 339 to 524 of the family's 1533-position model. The record is from RNAcentral. Lineage: Bacteria; Bacillati; Bacillota; Bacilli; Caryophanales; Staphylococcaceae.
CUACGGGAGGCAGCAGUAGGGAAUCUUCCGCAAUGGGCGAAAGCCUGACGGAGCAACGCCGCGUGAGUGAUGAAGGUCUUGGCAUCGUAAAACUCUGUUAUUAGGGAAGAACAUAUGUGUAAGUAACUGUGCACAUCUUGACGGUACCUAAUCAGAAAGCCACGGAUAACUACCUGCCAGCAGCCGCGGUAAU